Molecule: ribosomal RNA, 406 nt
Filed under: uncultured bacterium
Lineage: Bacteria
Description: partial 16S ribosomal RNA
Rfam family: Bacterial small subunit ribosomal RNA
Source: RNAcentral
AUUGAACGCUGGCGGCAGGCCUAACACAUGCAAGUCGAACGAGUGGCGGACGGGUGAGUAAUGUCUGGGAAACUGCCCGAUGGAGGGGGAUAACUACUGGAACCGGUAGCUAAUACCGCAUACCAUCGGAUGUGCCCAGAUGGGAUUAGCUUGUAGGUGGGGUAACGGCUCACCGAGGCGACUUUGCCUAGCUGGUCUGAGAGGAUGACCAACCACACUGGAACUGAGACAGGCACCGAAGACCUACGGGAGUCAGCAGUGGUGAAUAUUUCACAAAGGGGUAAAGCCUGAUGCAGCCAUGCCGCGUGUAGGAAGAAAGCCUUCGGGUUGGAAUGUACUGUCAGCGGGGAGGCGUGACCCGCAGAAGAAGCACAGGCUAACUCCGUGCCAGAAGCCGCGGGAAGAC